AGAGAGCUUGCUGCUCUGAUUCAGCGGCGGACGGGUGAGUAAUGCCUAGGAAUCUGCCUAUUAGUGGGGGACAACGUUUCGAAAGGAACGCUAAUACCGCAUACGUCCUACGGGAGAAAGCAGGGGACCUUCGGGCCUUGCGCUAAUAGAUGAGCCUAGGUCGGAUUAGCUAGUUGGUGAGGUAAUGGCUCACCAAGGCGACGAUCCGUAACUGGUCUGAGAGGAUGAUCAGUCACACUGGAACUGAGACACGGUCCAGACUCCUACGGGAGGCAGCAGUGGGGAAUAUUGGACAAUGGGCGAAAGCCUGAUCCAGCCAUGCCGCGUGUGUGAAGAAGGUCUUCGGAUUGUAAAGCACUUUAAGUUGGGAGGAAGGGCAUUAACCUAAUACGUUAGUGUUUUGACGUUACCGACAGAAUAAGCACCGGCUAACUUCGUGCCAGCAGCCGCGGUAAUACGAAGGGUGCAAGCGUUAAUCGGAAUUACUGGGCGUAAAGCGCGCGUAGGUGGUUUGUUAAGUUGGAUGUGAAAGCCCCGGGCUCAACCUGGGAACUGCAUCCAAAACUGGCAAGCUAGAGUAUGGCAGAGGGUGGUGGAAUUUCCUGUGUAGCGGUGAAAUGCGUAGAUAUAGGAAGGAACACCAGUGGCGAAGGCGACCACCUGGGCUAAUACUGACACUGAGGUGCGAAAGCGU
RNAcentral lists this ribosomal RNA (694 nucleotides) under Stutzerimonas zhaodongensis. RNAcentral's name for it is "bacterial SSU rRNA". It matches the Rfam family "Bacterial small subunit ribosomal RNA", at positions 73 to 762 of the family's 1533-position model. The record is from RNAcentral. Lineage: Bacteria; Pseudomonadati; Pseudomonadota; Gammaproteobacteria; Pseudomonadales; Pseudomonadaceae.